GACGAACGCUGGCGGCGUGGAUUAGGCAUGCAAGUCGAACGGUAUCAUCCUUUCGGGGGUGAGAGAGUGGCGAACUGGUGAGUAACACGUAGGUGAUCUACCCUCAAGAUUGGGACAACCCAGGGAAACUUGGGCUAAUACCGGAUGAAAGCAGCAGUGAUGUUGUUUGAAAGGUGGCGUAAGCUGCCGUUUGGGGAUGAGCCUGCGCUCUAUUAGUUAGUUGGCGGGGUAAAGGCCCACCAAGGCGAUGAUAGAUAGGCGGCCUUAACGGGUGGUCGCCCACACUGGGAUUGAGAUACGGCCCAGACUCCUACGGGAGGCAGCAGUCGAGAAUAGUCUACAAUGGCCGAAAGGCUGAUAGUGCGACGCCGCGUGAACGAAGAAGCCCUUCGGGGUGUAAAGUUCUUUUAUAUGUGAGCAGUGCUUUCUAUGUGAACAGCAUGGGGAAGAGAUAUUAGCAUAUGAAUAAGCAACGGCUAACUCCGU
Molecule: ribosomal RNA, 486 nt
Filed under: uncultured bacterium
Lineage: Bacteria
Description: bacterial SSU rRNA
Rfam family: Bacterial small subunit ribosomal RNA
Source: RNAcentral